GGCUAACUCUGUGCCAGCAGCCGCGGUAAUACAGAGGGUGCGAGCGUUGUCCGGAAUCACUGGGCGUAAAGGGCGCGUAGGUGGCGCGACAAGUCAGUGGUGAAAGCUCGGCGCUCAACGCCGAGUCGGCCACUGAUACUGUUGGGCUUGAGCACUGUAGAGGCAGAUGGAAUUCCGGGUGUAGCGGUGGAAUGCGUAGAGAUCCGGAAGAACACCGGUGGCGAAGGCGGUCUGCUGGGCAGUAGCUGACACUGAGGCGCGACAGCGUGGGGAGCAAACAGGAUUAGAUACCCUGGUAGUCCACGCCGUAAACGAUGGGCACUAGAUGCUUGGGGGAGCGACCCCCUGAGUGUCGUCGCUAACGCAUUAAGUGCCCCGCCUGGGGAGUACGGCCGCAAGGCUGAAACUCAAAGGAAUUGACGGGGGCCCGCACAAGCGGUGGAGCAUGUGGUUCAAUUCGACGCAACGCGAAGAACCUUACCCAGGCUUGAACAGCGAGUGACCACUCCCGAAAGGGAGCUUCCGCAAGGACACUCGUAGAGGUGCUGCAUGGCUG
Molecule: ribosomal RNA, 556 nt
Filed under: uncultured Gemmatimonadota bacterium
Lineage: Bacteria; Pseudomonadati; Gemmatimonadota
Description: bacterial SSU rRNA
Rfam family: Bacterial small subunit ribosomal RNA
Source: RNAcentral